ACACGUGGGCAAUCUGCCCUUCACUCUGGGACAAGCCCUGGAAACGGGGUCUAAUACCGGAUAAUACUUUCUCCCGCAUGGGGGAAGGUUGAAAGCUCCGGCGGUGAAGGAUGAGCCCGCGGCCUAUCAGCUUGUUGGUGGGGUGAUGGCCUACCAAGGCGACGACGGGUAGCCGGCCUGAGAGGGCGACCGGCCACACUGGGACUGAGACACGGCCCAGACUCCUACGGGAGGCAGCAGUGGGGAAUAUUGCACAAUGGGCGAAAGCCUGAUGCAGCGACGCCGCGUGAGGGAUGACGGCCUUCGGGUUGUAAACCUCUUUCAGCAGGGAAGAAGCGAAAGUGACGGUACCUGCAGAAGAAGCGCCGGCUAACUACGUGCCAGCAGCCGCGGUAAUACGUAGGGCGCAAGCGUUGUCCGGAAUUAUUGGGCGUAAAGAGCUCGUAGGCGGCUUGUCACGUCGGAUGUGAAAGCCCGGGGCUUAACCCCGGGUCUGCAUUCGAUACGGGCAGGCUAGAGUG
RNAcentral lists this ribosomal RNA (521 nucleotides) under Streptomyces setonensis. RNAcentral describes it as "bacterial SSU rRNA". It matches the Rfam family "Bacterial small subunit ribosomal RNA", at positions 113 to 648 of the family's 1533-position model. Lineage: Bacteria; Bacillati; Actinomycetota; Actinomycetes; Kitasatosporales; Streptomycetaceae. The record is from RNAcentral.